CAUCCUUUGCCUGGUCUGCCCUGUGUCUGUACAUAGUCUCCCCCUUCUCUCCCACAGAACAGGCCAGAGGUGGUGAUUUGGAGCUGAUUGAUCACGGAGGAAGAGAGACCUCAUCCAGGCUCAUGGCCUUGAAGUCUGUCUACAGAAUGAACACUUCCAAACUGCAUCUCCUGCCUGACCUUCCCUUGGGCCUCCAGACUUGACUAAGUAAGGAGAGAGGAUGGAAAAGAAGGAGCCACCAGCUAGCCUGUCCUGCUGUCUACAAGGGAGCAGGACUUGGAGCAGAAGUGAGUGUGCCUGAGUCCUGCAGUGCCUUCCAUCAGCAGACCCAAGAACAAGGCAAGGUUUGGGCAUCUCACAUCUUCUUCACCUGUGAGGUGUGAUUUUUUUUUCCUCUUCCUGGUGGAGAGGGUCUUUCCUGAUUGCUCAGCUGGUAAAGAAUCCACCUGCAAUGCAGGAGAUCUGGGUUGGGAAAUUCCCCUGGAGAAGGGAAAGGCUACCCACUCCAGUAUUCUGGCCUAGAGAAUUCCAUGGACUAUAAAGAGUUGGACAUGACUGAGCAACUUUCACUUUCACUUUCCUGGUGAGGACCACAUGGAGCCCUGGGGUUUUUCUCUCAAUUCUUACUUAGCUUGUGUUUCAAGGUGUCACUGACAAUCUGGUUUUAGAAAAGGCAGAGGAACCAAAGAUCAAAUUGCCAACAUCUGCUGGAUCAUUGAAAAAGCAAGAAAGUUCCAGAAAAACAUCUAUUUCUGCUUUAUGGACUUUG
Bubalus bubalis (water buffalo) is the source of this 769-nucleotide long non-coding RNA. RefSeq lists it as uncharacterized. The record is from RefSeq and is a predicted model, not a curated record. The transcript has 3 exons. Lineage: Eukaryota; Metazoa; Chordata; Mammalia; Artiodactyla; Bovidae.